GUAGGGAAUAUUGCACAAUGGGGGAAACCCUGAUGCAGCGACGCCGCGUGAGUGAUGAAGGCCUUCGGGUCGUAAAGCUCUGUCGUAUGGGACUAACAAAAUGAAGGUACCAUGCAAGAAAGGAUCGGCUAACUUCGUGCCAGCAGCCGCGGUAAGACGAGGGAUCCUAGCGUUGUUCGGAAUUAUUGGGCGUAAAGCGGGUGUAGGCGGGCCUGUCAGUCAGGUGUGAAAUCCCAGGGCUUAACCCUGGAAGUGCACUUGAUACUGCAGGUCUUGAGUGUGGUAGAGGCUAUUAGAAUUCUUGGUGUAGUGGUGAAAUACGUAGAUAUCAAGAGGAAUACCGGAGGCGAAGGCGGAUAGCUGGGCCAACACUGACGCUGAGACCCGAAAGCGUGGGGAUCAAACAGGAUUAGAUACCCGGGUAGUCC
RNAcentral lists this ribosomal RNA (428 nucleotides) under uncultured bacterium. Its description in RNAcentral is "partial 16S ribosomal RNA". It matches the Rfam family "Bacterial small subunit ribosomal RNA", at positions 354 to 796 of the family's 1533-position model. The record is from RNAcentral.